RNAcentral lists this ribosomal RNA (253 nucleotides) under uncultured bacterium. RNAcentral's name for it is "partial 16S ribosomal RNA". It matches the Rfam family "Bacterial small subunit ribosomal RNA", at positions 524 to 776 of the family's 1533-position model. The record is from RNAcentral.
UACGUAGGGUGCGAGCGUUAAUCGGAAUUACUGGGCGUAAAGUGUGCGCAGGCGGCCGCGCAAGUCGAGUGUGAAAGCCCCGGGCUUAACUUGGGAAUUGCGCUCGAAACUACGUGGCUGGAGUGUGGCAGAGGAAGGUGGAAUUCCAGGUGUAGCGGUGAAAUGCGCAGAUAUCAGGAGGAACACCGGUGGCGAAGGCGGGUCUCUGGGCCGAUACUGACGCUGAGGAGCGAAAGCGUGGGGAGCAAACAGG